UUUAUUUGUUAUAAACUUAUGUUAUAAGUUGUUUGUUCCAUACCAUUGCUGAUCCUCUUAGAGCUCACUGUUGGUGGGAUUAUUUUCUUAUUUAGACAUGUCUAUUGUAUAGGAGAGAGAGAAUUAGUAAGGUUAGGUGAAAGAAUCAUCAGAUUUGGAGUUAAAAUGAAAAAGUUAUGAAGGUUUGAAGUUGGGAGGUUUUUUUUGUUGCUACUGUUGCUCAGCCUUGGUGGUGGCUGCUAUUGAUGCUUUGUCCCUAUGCUGUUUUCAUCCAAUUGCAUCUAUUUUCAUCCAAUUGUGCGGUUUCCAUCUAGCAGUGCUAUCUUCAUCCGACUAUGCUAUUUGUCUUCAUCCGAUUGUGUUGUUUCCGUCCAACUGAACCUAUUUUCAUCCAAUAAUGCCUGUUUUCAUCCGAUUCCUUGUUCUAUCCAUUUUUUUCCUCAUCCAACUACUUCCAUUUGCUAGUUCUAUCUAAUUCUUUUCUUUUUCUUAUUGUUAUUUAUCACUUGUUCUAUGUUAAAUCAAUUGGUAACCAUUGCUUGGAGGGUAUUAUCUAGGAAAUUAUAAAUCAAUUGAUUAGAUAAU
RNAcentral lists this long non-coding RNA (585 nucleotides) under Physcomitrium patens. RNAcentral's name for it is "long non-coding RNA (PPAT_LNC008728)". Lineage: Eukaryota; Viridiplantae; Streptophyta; Bryopsida; Funariales; Funariaceae. The record is from RNAcentral.